Long non-coding RNA from Esox lucius (northern pike), 1371 nucleotides. NCBI's taxonomy places the organism in Eukaryota, Metazoa, Chordata, Actinopteri, Esociformes, Esocidae. The record is from Ensembl.
CAUGAGGCUAUGAGUAAGAACGCCAUUUGGAUUCCACGCUGUUGUACCGUGCAAACUAGAACAUUAAUUUUAGCGACUUGGUUCUCUCGUCAACUCUUAUUCAAAGUGUAUAAGCUAUAUGCUCUGAAUUGGACAAUACAACAUGUGGAUUAUCACAUUGUUUUACUACAAUUUGAUGAACUAUCGAAACAAACGAAGAUCAAGGAUUUUUUGGACAUCAGACUGAAAAUUGUUGAACGCUGAGUCUCCUACAUAGCUAUGUUCGGAUGUUUUGUGCUUCUUCGCAUAUCAACAGUUGAACAGGUGAUGACGAUUUCUGUAGUUUUGUUCCCGGAGGUGGAUGACUUUGUGGCAGCAGUUCCACGCCAGGAUGGAGCAAGCACAGUACUCCUAGGCACCAGACAGGUACUCCACGCCACCAUGUAGAGGAUGGCUACAUAGGUAAGUGUGGGUUCAUUCACUUAACCCAGAUGCUUAAAUUGUUAUUAAAGCAUGUUGCUUCGAGCCAUUUAUACUCUCCCUGCUCACCGACCGGGCACUCGAGCCCCAGUCCCCGCUCCAGCUCCGCGGCCUGCCCCAGUCCCCGCUCCAGCUCCGCGGCCUGCCCCAGGCCCCGCUCCAGCUCCGCGGCCUGCCCCAGGCCCCGCUCCAGCUCCGCGGCCUGCCCCAGGCCCCGCUCCAAUAUUUUGUUUGUCCUUGUCUUGUCCUUGUAUGGUCUUUCCUGUUCUUGUUUCAGUUGAUUGGUAUGUUCAGUUCACCUGUGUUUAGCCCCCACCUGUUUCUGUUCUCCUCGUUUGUCUGUGUAUUUUGUUCAGCCAUUUUCUCCCUGUCAGUGUAGGUCAUUGUGCUUGUGUGCCUGUUAUGUUUGUGUGCUCCUGAACCAUUGAACCCCUGAACUCUUGAGUAUUUUUGUAGUGCCCGGCACUCCGUUUGGUUUUCUUUGUUUUUGUUAAAUAAAAAGGGGAAACACCUCAAUCUUCUGCGCCUGCCUCCGUCUCCUACUAUACAACGUGACAAUUUCUUAUUUAUUUUUACUGCUGCUAUGUACAGUGUUAUAUAUGAUUGCAUUAUCCUCAAUAUAUGUAUAGCUCUGUGUGAAUUCUGACUGUAGUUGUAGUGUUAUGCCACCAUUCAUAAGCUUAUUGCACUGAUGCAUCUGAUUUUCAAUAACUAUUGAUUGCUGCUAGGUCAUACUUAUAUAUAUUACUGACAUUCCAGCCCUUGUUUAUUUUGUAUUGUAUUAUGUUUAUUUUGUACUUUCACAUUCAAAUACUGUAGUUUUACUAUCUGUUUCUAGACACGUUUUCUAGCACUUUGAUUUUGUAACAUUUUUAUUUCAAUUCAUUUGCACAUGUUUAUUUUGUAUGCUUG